GAUGAACGCUAGCGGCAGGCCUAAUACAUGCAAGACGAACGGUAACUGGAGUAGCAAUACUUCGGCUAGAGUGUCGUAAGGGUGCGUAACGAGUAUGCAAUCUGCCCUAUACCGGAGGAUAGCUCCCCGAAAGGGGAAUUAACACUCCAUAAGAUAAUGGUGAGGCAUCUCACAGUUAUUAAAACUCCGGUGGUAUAGGAUGAGCAUGCUUCUGAUUAGCUAGUUGGUGGUGUGACGGACCACCAAGGCGAUGAUCAGUAGGGGAACUGAGUGGUUGAUCCCCCACACUGGCACUGAGAUACGGGCCAGACUCCUACGGGAGGCAGCAGUAGGGAAUAUUGGACAAUGGGUGCAAGCCUGAUCCAGCCAUGCCGCGUGCAGGAAGAAGGCCUUCUGGGUUGUAAACUGCUUUUGCCAGGGGAUAAAAAGCCCGUGCGCGGGAAAUUGAAGGUACCUGGUGAAUAAGCCACGGCUAACUACGUGCC
RNAcentral lists this ribosomal RNA (485 nucleotides) under uncultured bacterium. RNAcentral describes it as "bacterial SSU rRNA". It matches the Rfam family "Bacterial small subunit ribosomal RNA", at positions 28 to 509 of the family's 1533-position model. The record is from RNAcentral.